This 523-nucleotide ribosomal RNA is filed under the name Amphioctopus marginatus. Its description in RNAcentral is "partial 16S rRNA". It matches the Rfam family "Bacterial large subunit ribosomal RNA", at positions 1810 to 2603 of the family's 2925-position model. Lineage: Eukaryota; Metazoa; Mollusca; Cephalopoda; Octopoda; Octopodidae. The record is from RNAcentral.
AAAACAUGUCUCUUUGAGUUUUUUUAAUAGGGAGUUGGGCCUGCUCGGUGAUUUAUAUUUAACAGCUGCGGUAUUAUAACUGUACUAAGGUAGCAUAAUAAUUUGCCUUAUAAAUUGGGGCUAGAAUGAAUGGUUUGACGAAAAUUAUACUGUCUCUAUUUUAUUCAUUAGAAGUUAAUUUUUAUAGUGAGAAAGCUUGGAUGAUUUAAAGGGACGAAAAGACCCUAUUGAGCUUUAUAUUAUAUUUUAAAUAUAAUAUGUUUUGUGUUUAUUUAUAUAAUUUUGGUUGGGGUGAUCAAGGAAUAAAAUGUAUUUUUAAUUAACUUCCUUAAAUGGUGAUAUAUAUAAAUGAAUAAACCAAGUUUUUUGCUUAGAAGAUAAGUUACCAUAGGGAUAACAGCGUAAUUUUUUUUGAAAGUUCAUAUUGAAAAAAGAGAUUGCGACCUCGAUGUUGGAUUAAAAUGACCUUAAGGUGAAGAGGCUUUAAUUGGUAAAUCUGUUCGAUUUUUAAAAUUUUACGUGA